UAAGACAAGGGAGACGAGUGUUAUUCAUCUUUAACAGGUAUAUAGGGUACCUAGACGGUGUGCAAUGGCUUAAAUAAGUACCUGGUACACUUGAGUUUGAUAUGUGAGAGGAAUAUGUCGGAAUUGUUGGAGGAAAGAUGAAAUUUGUUAAUACCAAUAGGACUGAUAACGGCGAAGGCAAACCUCUAUGUACAUGUACUUGCUAUUUCUAUUUGUUUAUUUUUUUUUCAAUAGAAAAAAAAAGAAACUAAAAAAAAGAAACUAAAAAAAAGAAACUAAAAAAAAGAAAUUUUUUUUUGUGAAGGAAUAUAUGAAAUAUUAAGCAAAAGAGCAAUGUACUAUAACUGACGUUGAGGGACGAAGGCUCAGAGAGUGAAGAGGAUUAGAUACCCCCGUAACCUGGGCAGACAAUGAUGAGUGCCAUAGGUUGGCUUUAAGGCGGAACUAUAAAUGAAAGUGGAAGCACUCCACCUCAAGAGUAAUGUGGCAACGCAGGAACUGAAAUCAUUAGACCGUUUCUGAAACCAGUAGUGAAGUAACU
RNAcentral lists this ribosomal RNA (541 nucleotides) under Alternaria solani. Its description in RNAcentral is "partial small subunit ribosomal RNA". It matches the Rfam family "Bacterial small subunit ribosomal RNA", at positions 521 to 942 of the family's 1533-position model. Lineage: Eukaryota; Fungi; Ascomycota; Dothideomycetes; Pleosporales; Pleosporaceae. The record is from RNAcentral.